UGACUGGGGUGAAGUCGUAACAAGGUAACCGUAGGGGAACCUGCGGUUGGAUCACCUCCUUACCUAAGAGA
This 71-nucleotide ribosomal RNA is filed under the name Proteus mirabilis. RNAcentral's name for it is "partial 16S ribosomal RNA". The stretch from base 1 to 62 matches the Rfam family "Bacterial small subunit ribosomal RNA", at positions 1472 to 1533 of the family's 1533-position model. The record is from RNAcentral. Lineage: Bacteria; Pseudomonadati; Pseudomonadota; Gammaproteobacteria; Enterobacterales; Morganellaceae.